AUGAACAUGAGAGUUUGAUCCUGGCUCAGGACGAACGCUGGCGGCGUGCCUAACACAUGCAAGUCGAGCGAAGGGAGUACUACGGUACGAACUUAGCGGCGGACGGGUGAGUAACGCGUGGACAAUCUACCCUGUAGACUGGGAUAACACCUCGAAAGGGGUGCUAAUACCGGAUAAUGUCGAGAAGCGGCAUCGCUUUUCGAAGAAAGGAGGGAAUCCGCUAUAGGAGGAGUCCGCGUCCCAUUAGCUAGUUGGUGAGGGUAACGGCCCACCAAGGCGACGAUGGGUAGCCGGCCUGAGAGGGUGAA
This 308-nucleotide ribosomal RNA is filed under the name Thermohydrogenium kirishiense. RNAcentral's name for it is "partial 16S ribosomal RNA". It matches the Rfam family "Bacterial small subunit ribosomal RNA", at positions 1 to 304 of the family's 1533-position model. The record is from RNAcentral. Lineage: Bacteria; Bacillati; Bacillota; Clostridia; Eubacteriales; Syntrophomonadaceae.